RNAcentral lists this ribosomal RNA (448 nucleotides) under uncultured bacterium. RNAcentral's name for it is "bacterial SSU rRNA". It matches the Rfam family "Bacterial small subunit ribosomal RNA", at positions 329 to 794 of the family's 1533-position model. The record is from RNAcentral.
CGCCAGACUCCUACGGGAGGCAGCAGUGGGGAAUAUUGCACAAUGGGGGAAACCCUGAUGCAGCGACGCCGCGUGAAGGAAGAAGUAUUUCGGUAUGUAAACUUCUAUCAGCAGGGAAGAAAAUGACGGUACCUGACUAAGAAGCCCCGGCUAACUACGUGCCAGCAGCCGCGGUAAUACGUAGGGGGCAAGCGUUAUCCGGAUUUACUGGGUGUAAAGGGAGCGUAGGCGGUAAUGCAAGUCAGAAGUGAAAGCCCGGGGCUCAACUCCGGGACUGCUUUUGAAACUGUGUUACUAGAGUGCAGGAGAGGUAAGUGGAAUUCCUAGUGUAGCGGUGAAAUGCGUAGAUAUUAGGAGGAACACCAGUGGCGAAGGCGGCUUACUGGGCUGUAACUGACGUUGAGGCUCGAAAGCGUGGGGAGCAAACAGGAUUAGAUACCCUCGUAUA